Molecule: non-coding RNA, 31 nt
Filed under: Homo sapiens (human)
Lineage: Eukaryota; Metazoa; Chordata; Mammalia; Primates; Hominidae
Source: RNAcentral
UACCUGUAAGCCCAACAGAGACAAGGCUGGA